CAAAUAGGCCUAAAAGUACAUGAAUACAGAUGCUUGUUUACAAUUGUUUGUUAAAUUCAUUUUUCUUGCUUGUAAACAAAUUUUUCAAUGCAUCCAGUGCCUCUGACAAUAGACAUUUCUAAUAUUUCAUCUUGCAUAAUUAAAGUAACAUUUUGUAUUCAAAUAGAAUUGUGAUAUUUGGGUCACAAAGGCUUCAAUAAAAAAGUAUGCAGCAGUGUUGCAUGUACACUAUACAAGAUUAUCGGCAUGUUUACAUUCCUCCCACAGUGGACUUCUAGGUAACCUCAUCCCUGCAGGCUCGAAUUGCUGGAGCAGACAGAGAGCGAGCCGGCUGGUGCACGAGUUUAAUUUACGCAAUGUUGACAUAGCGCCGCUCAGUGGUUUAUGAGUCAAGAACAGAUCCGGUAGAAGUUGCCUCUAAGGCUAAGCAAAGUCAUAAAAUCAGUUCCCCAUAUACCCAAGAAGACGAGGGACAGAACAGGGACCAUGCCUCAGGACUACCUGGCCUGAUGACUCCUUGCUGUCCCCAGUCCACCUGGUCGUGCUGCUGCUCCAGUUUCAACUGUUCUGCCUGUGGCUAUGGGACCCUGACCUGUUCACCGGACGUGCUACCUGUCCCGGACCUGCUGUUUUGGACUCUCUCUACCGCACCUGCUGUCUCUAACUCUGAAUGAUCGGCUAUGAAAAGCCAACUGACAUUUACUCCUGAGGUGCUGACCUGUUGCACUCUCUACAACCACUCUGAUUAUUAUUAUCUGACCCUGCUGGUCAUCUAUGAAUGUUUGAACAUCUUGGCCAUGUACUGUUAUAAUCUCCACCCCGCACAGCCAGAUGAUGACUGGCUACCACUCAGAGCCUGGUUCCUCUCUAGGUUUCUUCCUAGGUUCCGGCCUUUCUAGGGAGUUUUUCCUAGCCACUCUGCUUCUACAUCUGCAUUGCUUGCUGUUUGGGGUUUUAGGCUGGGUUUCUGUACAGCACUUUGUGACAUCGGCUGAUGUAAAAUGCUUUCUGACGUCACUCAGGGGGCGGUGACUUACUUGCACGAAAUUAAACAAUUUCCUCUUAUAGUUUCCAAAAUCACAUCCCUCUUUAAACACUUUCAUCAUUUUUCAUAUUUCAUGCACAACGCAUCGGAUGGACACCUCACAUAUGUGUGUAUACCUCAAGUCACAGUAUUUCCUUUAUCAUUUUUAAUGACAUCACAAAAUAACCGAAAUUACAUAAUUUAGAUCGCCUCUGACCAUUCCCCACGUUCUGUUAGAAAUAUUGUUCCAGUAUUCACUUUAGAACGUGUUAAGAGUUUUGUCAGGAAAAUGUCCGGACAAAAGCACAUUCCUGUGGUGAACAUUGGAGGGAGAUGCUGAAUGUUCUGCCCUUGAUGAAUAUACCCUGACGAAGAGAGCUUGUCUGUCGAAACGUUGGAUAUUACAUUAUUCAAUUAUUUGUCACGAACCGGCUCGAAGUUCGUAACAAAUAGGGAGACAACGUGGAGAUAAGGAAUAACAAAAUAUAUUUAUUAACUGAAGUAACGUAAAUGCAAUUAACAAUGGUGUGUGUAGUCAGUAAUCAGUAGUGUAUGUGAGUGGUUGCAUGCAUAAAUGUGAUAAUGAGGGGUGUUGAAAGGUGCCAACGCAAACAAACAAACAAAAAUAGCCACAACCAAACUCUGUGUCUGCAUAGAGAGUCUCCCCAAUGAAUGGGGAAGAGGUGUAUUUAUCCCAGGACACACCUGAGCCCAGGUCAUAUCCUGCCUCAUAUCCUGCCCGUAUCCCAAAUGACCCAGCCUGCGUCCCAAAUCCAUGAGGGGGGUACGUGUUCACACUUCCACUUGCCCCAGCAAACCUCAUCCUCCCCAGACCUCAGCACACAGGAAGUAACCUUUAAGAGGAAAGAAGAAAACGAGACCAGAAGGGAACAGACAGGAGUGAUAGAACAGGACAAUACCAAACACAAAAUAACAGUGGUCAGUCACGUGAACAUUCACCCUGUUCAUAAGUCACUUAAAGGUGGCAGGUGC
Molecule: long non-coding RNA, 2017 nt
Filed under: Salmo salar (Atlantic salmon)
Lineage: Eukaryota; Metazoa; Chordata; Actinopteri; Salmoniformes; Salmonidae
Description: lncRNA (ENSSSAG00000081764.1)
Source: RNAcentral